This 249-nucleotide ribosomal RNA is filed under the name uncultured bacterium. RNAcentral describes it as "partial 16S ribosomal RNA". It matches the Rfam family "Bacterial small subunit ribosomal RNA", at positions 85 to 334 of the family's 1533-position model. The record is from RNAcentral.
UUGUGACUUAGUGGCGGACGGGUGAGUAACGCGUGGGUAACCUGCCUCACACAGGGGGAUAACAGUUGGAAACGACCGCUAAUACCGCAUAACCCGCUAGGGCCGCAUGGCCCGGACGGAAAAGAUUUAUCGGUGUGAGAUGGACCCGCGUUGGAUUAGCUAGUUGGCAGGGUAACGGCCUACCAAGGCGACGAUCCAUAGCCGGCCUGAGAGGGUGAACGGCCACAUUGGGACUGAGACACGGUCCAA